GAUGAACGCUGGCGGCGUGCCUAAUGCAUGCAAGUCGAGCGAACAGACGAGGAGCUUGCUCCUCUGACGUUAGCGGCGGACGGGUGAGUAACACGUGGAUAACCUACCUAUAAGACUGGGAUAACUUCGGGAAACCGGAGCUAAUACCGGAUAAUAUAUUGAACCGCAUGGUUCAAUAGUGAAAGACGGUUUUGCUGUCACUUAUAGAUGGAUCCGCGCCGGAUUAGCUAGUUGGUAAGGUAACGGCUUACCAAGGCAACGAUGCGUAGCCGACCUGAGAGCGUGGUCGGCCACCCUGGAACUGAGACACGGUCCAGACUCCUACGGGAGGCAGCAGUAGGGAAUCUUCCGCAAUGGGCGAAAGCCUGACGGAGCAACGCCGCGUGAGUGAUGAAGGUCUUCGGAUCGUAAAACUCUGUUAUUAGGGAAGAACAAAUGUGUAAGUAACUAUGCACGUCUUGACGGUACCUAAUCAGAAAGCCACGGCUAACUACGUG
This 497-nucleotide ribosomal RNA is filed under the name uncultured bacterium. Its description in RNAcentral is "partial 16S ribosomal RNA". It matches the Rfam family "Bacterial small subunit ribosomal RNA", at positions 28 to 507 of the family's 1533-position model. The record is from RNAcentral.